GUCCACGCCCUAAACGAUGUCAACUAGUUGUUCGGAGAGGUAACUUUCUGAGUAACGCAGCUAACGCGUGAAGUUGACCGCCUGGGGAGUACGGCCGCAAGGUUAAAACUCAAAGGAAUUGACGGGGACCCGCACAAGCGGUGGAUGAUGUGGAUUAAUUCGAUGCAACGCGAAAAACCUUACCUACCCUUGACAUGCCUGGAACCCUUGAGAGAUCAGGGGGUGCCUUCGGGAGCCAGGACACAGGUGCUGCAUGGCUGUCGU
Molecule: ribosomal RNA, 264 nt
Filed under: uncultured bacterium
Lineage: Bacteria
Description: partial 16S ribosomal RNA
Rfam family: Bacterial small subunit ribosomal RNA
Source: RNAcentral